RNAcentral lists this ribosomal RNA (298 nucleotides) under uncultured fungus. RNAcentral's name for it is "partial 18S ribosomal RNA". Lineage: Eukaryota; Fungi. The record is from RNAcentral.
GCCACUAUCCUACCAUCGAAAGUUGAUAGGGCAGAAAUUUUGAAUGAACCAUCGCCGGCGCAAGGCCAUGCGAUUCGUUAAGUUAUUAUGAUUCACCAAGGAGCCCCGAAGGGCAUUGGUUUUUUAUCUAAUAAAUACACCCCUUCCUGAAUCCAGGGUUUUAACAUGGAUUUACUCCUGAAUUACCACCGGGAUCCCUGGUGUAAGGGACCAUCAAAUAAACCAUAACCGGUUUAAUGGACCCUUCCCAGUUUCACCGUAUAAAUUGGUUAUACUUAAACCUGGAUGGGUUAAUUUU